ACGAGGCCGGUCUGCCUUACACAUGUUACGUAAGCCCCUGUUGCGGCGCACAUUCAGACAGAGGUAGAAUUCUGUCCUGGAGUUCACGACAUGUCGUCUCGACAGACAUAAAUGUAACAACCUUGAUGAUGCCUUCAGUUGUCUUCUCAAACAGGCAUCCAUUGUGGGGAAUAGGACCAAGGUCAGCAGGUGGUGUGUGGUAACCAAACAGAAUGUCAGUCAUAAAAGCAGGUUACAGAUUGUUAAUGUUAUAUUAACAGGCUAUACUCACUGACUAUUCAAAUGAUGCAGGGGACUUGAUGUACAAUCUACUCACUCACUAUUCAUAAGAUGCAGGGGACUUGAUGUACAAUCUAUCCACUCACUAUUCAUUGAUGCAGGGGACUUGAUGUACAAUCUACUCACUCACUAUUCAUAUGAUGCAGGGGACUUGAUGUACAAUCUAUCCACUCACUAUUCAUUGAUGCAGGGGACAUGAUGUACAAUCUACUCACUCACUAUUCAUAUGAUGCAGGGGACUUGAUGUACAAUCUACUCACUCACUAUUCAUAUGAUGCAGGGUACUUGAUGUACAAUCUACUCACUCACUAUUCAUAUGAUGCAGGGUACUUGAUGUACAAUCUAUCCAUUCACUAUUCAUUGAUGCAGGGGACUUGAUGUACAAUCUACUCACUCACUAUUCAUAUGAUGCAGGGUACUUGAUGUACAAUCUACUCACUCACUAUUCAUUGAUGCAGGGGACUUGAUGUACAAUCUACUCACUCACUAUUCAUAUGAUGCAGGGUACUUGAUGUACAAUCUAUCCACUCACUAUUCAUUGAUGCAGGGGACUUGAUGUACAAUCUAUCCACUCACUAUUCAUUGAUGCAGGGGACUUGAUGUACAAUCUACUCACUCACUAUUCAUAUGAUGCAGGGGACUUGAUGUACAAUCUACUCACUCACUAUUCAUAUGAUGCAGGGGACUUGAUGUACAAUCUACUCACUCACUAUUCAUAUGAUGCAGGGUACUUGAUGUACAAUCUAUCCACUCACUAUUCAUUGAUGCAGGGGACUUGAUGUACAAUCUACUCACUCACUAUUCAUAUGAUGCAGGGUACUUGAUGUACAAUCUAUCCACUCACUAUUCAUUGAUGCAGGGGACUUGAUGUACAAUCUACUCACUCACUAUUCAUUGAUGCAGGGUACUUGAUGUACAAUCUAUCCACUCACUAUUCAUUGAUGCAGGGGACUUGAUGUACAAUCUACUCACUCACUAUUCAUAUGAUGCAGGGGACUUGAUGUACAAUCUACUCACUCACUAUUCAUAUGAUGCAGGGUACUUGAUGUACAAUCUACUCACUGACUAUUCAUAUGAUGCAGGGGACUUGAUGUACAAUCUACUCACUGACUAUUCAUAUGAGAAAGUUACCAUUGUCCAGAUUCCAGAUCCUGCCUGUGGCCUCCAUGCCUGAUGUUCCAGCAAUGAGGAUGUUGCCCCCCUCUGCCAGACAGUCCACCUCGUGACUCACAUGCUGCAGGUCAUACACCAACUCCACUGGAAAAAUGAUGCAUUACGUGACUUACUGAACCUCUUUGUCUUUGUUCAUGCAUUAAGGUUAUGUGUGUAUUUCAAUAUUUUCAGAACUUGGUCCGCGUACACAUUGACAUUCUUAUUAGCUACCAAAUACAUGAAAUGUACAUGAAUUGAACAAAUACAGCCAUGGGUUUAGAUCCGAGUUCUACUGGGACUACUUUCCUUCUCUGCUUGUGGGUUCCCCAUCUGCCACCUACAUCACACUGCCACCUACAUCACACUGCCACCUACAUCACCCUGCCACCUACAUCACACUGCCACCUACAUCACACUGCCACCUACUGAUACAACUGCUGAAAGCUGCAUCCAACCCUGACUUACUUAUAUACACUUUGCUGAAUAUAUGUUUUGUUGCAGUUUGUCUUACAUGUCUGGACAUCCAGGACUAGGACUUUCUUCUUCCUGGGAACAGCGAGGUGUCGUCCACUACUGGUCAGGCACAUCAGUCUCCGAGGUGUCCUCAUCGACUCCGCCUCCAGCACCACGUCGGUACUGCCUGUCUCCAUGUCUCGCUUCAGGAGACAUCCGUGCUUUGUACACAUGAACAGUUGCUUGUCAUCCCUGGUAACACAGUGAGACGGGAUUCAGAGAGCAGGCAAUAUACAUAGAGCUGGAACUUGUGAAGAAAGAAAUUGAUCUUGUUUUGUUUGUGCAUAUCUCUGACUAUUCCCACAUACUGUUCUGAUUUCAGUGACCUUCUCUGGAACCUCUGAUGUUAGGACACACAUGUUUUUAACUGACUUUACGGAUCGAUCGACUGUACACUUUCUUGAAAUGGAAUGUUUUCUUCACAAUUUGUUCCCUUUUUUCUAUCCUGCCGAUAAGCUGAGAGCAUAUUGCACCCACUAAACAAGGACCCACGGAAGUGGACAUUUUAAACAUGGGAGUCAAACUAAGGUUACUGGUUGUUACUAAACAUUUAUAGGAUUCCUAGAUGCACAAAACUGUUCUCGUUUGAUUUGUCAGGUUUGCAUUCCUUAAAGCAACAGCGGUGUAGCAGUCUCUCCUCCCACAGUCUAUUUGUAUACCCGCCAACCUGUAGUGGAGCAGAAAACAAAACAAAAUCAAAUUGAA
Molecule: long non-coding RNA, 2649 nt
Filed under: Haliotis rufescens (red abalone)
Lineage: Eukaryota; Metazoa; Mollusca; Gastropoda; Lepetellida; Haliotidae
Description: uncharacterized LOC125378238, transcript variant X2
Source: RNAcentral